Long non-coding RNA from Astatotilapia calliptera (eastern happy), 384 nucleotides. Lineage: Eukaryota; Metazoa; Chordata; Actinopteri; Cichliformes; Cichlidae. The record is from Ensembl.
UCCUAUUAAUAAACGGUUAAGGAAUGUGUAUUUAUGACGACGAUUUGUGAGACUGGUAAACUUAUGAUACGUACGAUGGUCUUUCGUUCUACACGGUGCAUUUCAAGGUCCUGCACCCAUCCGUCGGUAAACUGUACCUGGGCUUGUUGCAGUGACCUGAAGUUACUAAACUUCAUGAGUGUGUGCACUCACUCCAAGAACCGUAUGAUUAUAAAUAUGCAUAUAAAUAUGCUAAGAUGAGAUAGCUGACUUCAUCUAACUAGCAAAUGUUGUCCAGGCUACGUUGGUGAUGCAGUUUUUUUUUAAUGUGUAUGAUAUUUUUGUCAUGCGAUUUUAAAGCCGGUCCUACAACCGCAUCCAAGAAUAACAUGCAGCGUAUCUCAG